This 468-nucleotide ribosomal RNA is filed under the name uncultured bacterium. Its description in RNAcentral is "partial 16S ribosomal RNA". It matches the Rfam family "Bacterial small subunit ribosomal RNA", at positions 28 to 507 of the family's 1533-position model. The record is from RNAcentral.
GACGAACGCUGGCGGCGUGCUUAACACAUGCAAGUCGAACGGAAAGGCCCUGCUUUUGUGGGGUGCUCGAGUGGCGAACGGGUGAGUAACACGUGAGUAACCUGCCCUUGACUUUGGGAUAACUUCAGGAAACUGGGGCUAAUACCGGAUAGGAGCUCCUGCUGCAUGGUGGGGGUUGGAAAGUUUCGGCGGUUGGGGAUGGCUUCGCGGCUUAUCAGCUUGUUGGUGGGGUAGUGGCUUACCAAGGCUUUGACGGGUAGCCGGCCUGGGAGGGUGACCGGCCACAUUGGGACUGAGAUACGGCCCAGACUCCUACGGGAGGCAGCAGUGGGGAAUAUUGCAGAAUGGGCGGAAGCCUGAUGCAGCAACGCCGCGUGCGGGAUGACGGCCUUCGGGUUGUAAACCGCUUUCGCCUGUGACGAAGCGUGAGUGACGGUAAUGGGUAAAGAAGCACCGGCUAACUACGUG